RNAcentral lists this ribosomal RNA (497 nucleotides) under uncultured bacterium. Its description in RNAcentral is "partial 16S ribosomal RNA". It matches the Rfam family "Bacterial small subunit ribosomal RNA", at positions 28 to 507 of the family's 1533-position model. The record is from RNAcentral.
GAUGAACGCUGGCGGCGUGCCUAAUACAUGCAAGUCGAGCGAACAGACGAGGAGCUUGCUCCUCUGACGUUAGCGGCGGACGGGUGAGUAACACGUGGAUAACCUACCUAUAAGACUGGGAUAACGUCGGGAAACCGGAGCUAAUACCGGAUAAUAUAUUGAACCGCAUGGUUCAAUAGUGAAAGACGGUUUUGCUGUCACUUAUAGAUGGAUCCGCGCCGCAUUGGCUAGUUGGUAAGGUAACGGCUUACCAAGGCGACGAUGCGUAGCCGACCUGAGAGGGUGAUCGGCCACACUGGAACUGAGACACGGUCCAGACUCCUACGGGAGGCAGCAGUAGGGAAUCUUCCGCAAUGGGCGAAAGCCUGACGGAGCAACGCCGCGUGAGUGAUGAAGGUCUUCGGAUCGUAAAACUCUGUUAUUAGGGAAGAACAAAUGUGUAAGUAACUAUGCACGUCUUGACGGUACCUAAUCAGAAAGCCACGGCUAACUACGUG